Non-coding RNA from Geosporobacter subterraneus DSM 17957, 118 nucleotides. NCBI's taxonomy places the organism in Bacteria, Bacillati, Bacillota, Clostridia, Peptostreptococcales, Thermotaleaceae. The record is from Rfam.
GAAGCCUUUAAAUUGGUCCAGAGAGGCCGGUAAGGAACUGGGAAGUAUAGAUAUCUAUCUAUAACUUAUUUUGUUGUAGAAUAAAGACCUUCUGCCUCUAUGGGAAGGUCUUUUUAUU